Trichosurus vulpecula (common brushtail) is the source of this 106-nucleotide small nuclear RNA. The record is from RefSeq and is a predicted model, not a curated record. NCBI's taxonomy places the organism in Eukaryota, Metazoa, Chordata, Mammalia, Diprotodontia, Phalangeridae.
GCUCACUUUGGCAGCACAUAUACUAAAAAUUAAAACAAUUCAGAAAAGAUUAGCCUGGCUCCUGCACAAGGAUCACACACAAACUCAUGCACAAAAAUCAAUCCAU